UAGGGAAUCUUGGGCAAUGGGGGGAACCCUGAUCGAGCAACGCCGCGUGAGGGAAGAAGGUUUUCGGAUCGUAAAGCUCUGUUGUUAAGGAAGAACGAGUGUGAGAAUGGAAAGUUCAUACAGUGACGGUACUUAACCAGAAAGGGACGGCUAACUACGUGCCAGCAGCCGCGGUAAUACGUAGGUCCCGAGCGUUGUCCGGAUUUAUUGGGGGUAAAGCGAGCGCAGGCGGUUUGAUAAGUCUGAAGUUAAAGGCAGUGGCUCAACCAUUGUAGGCUUUGGAUACUGUUUAGCUUGAGUGCGGAAGGGGAGAGUGGAAUUCCAUGUGUAGCGGUGAAAUGCGUAGAUAUAUGGAGGAACACCGGUGGCGAAAGCGGCUCUCUGGUCUGUAACUGACGCUGAGGCUCGAAAGCGUGGGGAGCAAACAGG
This 429-nucleotide ribosomal RNA is filed under the name Bacteroidota bacterium. RNAcentral describes it as "Bacteroidetes bacterium partial 16S ribosomal RNA". It matches the Rfam family "Bacterial small subunit ribosomal RNA", at positions 355 to 776 of the family's 1533-position model. Lineage: Bacteria; Pseudomonadati; Bacteroidota. The record is from RNAcentral.